UGAUCGUAUAUUAUGGUCAGUUAUUUUAAGUGUUGUUUGUAUCGGUCGCUUCGUUGGAAACGCUGUUAAACUGUAUUAAAACGAUCUCGUAAGUAACUAUAGUACCAGCAACCUAAAUAGUAGUGACAAAUAAAUAUUAAACAUUAGUAUUUUUAAUAAUAAUUAGACAUUUUUAAAUGAAUACACCAACCGUUAGCAUUAAUGUCCGAGUGACUGAAAAGAAAUUGCAUCCGGUCAUGGUAUUGUGUUAUAAUUUAGGUAUAAUCAAUGAUCGAAAAAGUUCGUAAUCUGCGUUAAAAACUAUAAUUAUACUGAAUCAAUUGUAUAACUUAACGUUAUCAUUCUUUUAAUUCAUGACUUGAAAAAUCGAUUAUCUUCUUCAACAUUUCUCCAUUGACCACUGCCAAACAUCAAUCAACAACCGUUCCAUUUGAUCAGAAUUGAUUCAAGCAACUAAAUACACAGAUUUGUCAACAAUAUUCGUCACGUAUUAUAAUGAAGUUGAUGUUUAUAAUUUGUUCCCUAUGUUAUUUUGUAUUACGGUAUGUAUUUUCUACAAAUGCCGACGUCCGGUGUGGCCACGAUUGUUCUCUAGUUACCGAAUUUCCCGACCCCGUACACUGUUCUAAUAACCGUGAAAAACGAACUCUAUGUCAUGGAAAACCAGGAUGAUCAUGUUGUUGGGCCUAAUUUCAA
Non-coding RNA from Cinara cedri, 696 nucleotides. The record is from the annotation of a GenBank genome assembly. Lineage: Eukaryota; Metazoa; Arthropoda; Insecta; Hemiptera; Aphididae.